UACAGAGGGGGCAAGCGUUGUUCGGAAUUACUGGGCGUAAAGGGCGCGUAGGCGGCCUGCUAAGUCGAACGUGAAAUCCCUGGGCUCAACCCAGGAACUGCGUCCGAUACUGGUUGGCUUGAAUCCGGGAGAGGGAUGUGGAAUUCCAGGUGUAGCGGUGAAAUGCGUAGAGAUGUGGAGGAACACCGAUGGCGAAGGCAGCCCCCUGGGCUAACACUGACGCUCAUGCACGAAAGCGUGGGGAGCAAACAGG
This 253-nucleotide ribosomal RNA is filed under the name uncultured bacterium. RNAcentral describes it as "partial 16S ribosomal RNA". It matches the Rfam family "Bacterial small subunit ribosomal RNA", at positions 524 to 776 of the family's 1533-position model. The record is from RNAcentral.